GGAAGCCCUUGCACUGAGGGAGACUUGUUGUGGCUCAGGGAUGCUGCCGUGGAGCACCUCUACUAGAUAGAUCCGAAGGACAACUACGGGGCAUGUCAGUGGUGGUGAAAAGACAGGAAGGCUCCCAGUGAUGGAUGAAAGUGGCAGGAGAGGCUCACGGGGGUAUCUCUCUCCUCACCAGUCCUUGGCAGCUGGGACCUCACCUAAAGGUCCAUUCCAAGAGGGAUGUCCUCAAACACGUGGCACCAUCUCUUCAAGGAGAACUUUGCCACCAUUUGAGCCUGAAUAAACCACCCAUCCCCUUUGCCUUCAGCAGCCUCCGAAUGUCUCCCCUACGUCCCACCUCAGCGACCCAAGAUCUUCUCUCCAUCCCCAGCAGCAUCCCGGUUGCUUUGCAGGGCCGUGUGCGGGGAGGAAGGCAACCUUCGCCACCUAGUGAGCAACCCUCACCAGCACUGGCACCUGUGGCUGAAGGGAAGGCUUAUCCUCUGCUCCCAUGAAAAACCCUUUUUUCUCCCCUCUCCAAGAAUACACCAUGCUGAAACCUAUAGAGCAUUUUCCUACCCACAGUCAU
RNAcentral lists this long non-coding RNA (574 nucleotides) under Gallus gallus (chicken). RNAcentral describes it as "long non-coding RNA NONGGAT009002". The record is from RNAcentral. Lineage: Eukaryota; Metazoa; Chordata; Aves; Galliformes; Phasianidae.